CUUCAGCAAUAAGGCUUUCUCCCUCCAACUUAUUUCUCACACACAUAGUGUCCCCGGAAGAGAGAGAAUUCAGCACCUCCAUCUCUAGCUCACUUCACCUUGGAGCAGUCGGUCGACAACGAGAUCGGGUAACCAAUGUUAACAUGGCACUUCCCAGGAAUCCCGGAGACGAUGGGCAUCUUGAUUCCUGAAAUGCUCUGAACCAAUUUCUUCAAACAAAUACAAGCCUGCUGUCGGUCGGGUGUGGUCUUAGCCGCCGAGUUCAAGCUCCGAACGCCGUUGCAGCAACCAAGCGGCACCGUGCCCCCAUUUCGGGCGUAGAUGAUACAGGGAGCGAUAGCCACUGCCACCUGCCCGCAGGUUAUGGCCGCAGAUGCAGGGCGCGCUGUGGUGGCGAUGAGGAUGACCAAGAGGAGAGCAAUUGCAGCCAUUUGAGCACCGCAGUAGAAGCUUGGGG
RNAcentral lists this unclassified non-coding RNA (457 nucleotides) under Hevea brasiliensis (rubber tree). Lineage: Eukaryota; Viridiplantae; Streptophyta; Magnoliopsida; Malpighiales; Euphorbiaceae. The record is from RNAcentral.